RNAcentral lists this ribosomal RNA (526 nucleotides) under uncultured bacterium. RNAcentral describes it as "bacterial SSU rRNA". It matches the Rfam family "Bacterial small subunit ribosomal RNA", at positions 384 to 906 of the family's 1533-position model. The record is from RNAcentral.
UGAUCAGCAUGCCGCGUGUGUGAAGAAGGCCUUCGGGUUGUAAAGCACUUUUGUCCGGAAAGAAAACCUCGGGUUUAAUACCCGCGGGGGAUGACGGUACCGGAAGAAUAAGCACCGGCUAACUACGUGCCAGCAGCCGCGGUAAUACGUAGGGUGCAAGCGUUAAUCGGAAUUACUGGGCGUAAAGCGUGCGCAGGCGGUUUGCUAAGACCGAUGUGAAAUCCCCGGGCUCAACCUGGGAACUGCAUUGGUGACUGGCGGGCUAGAGUAUGGCAGAGGGGGGUAGAAUUCCACGUGUAGCAGUGAAAUGCGUAGAGAUGUGGAGGAAUACCGAUGGCGAAGGCAGCCCCCUGGGCCAAUACUGACGCUCAUGCACGAAAGCGUGGGGAGCAAACAGGAUUAGAUACCCUGGUAGUCCACGCCCUAAACGAUGUCAACUAGUUGUUGGGGAUUCAUUGCCUUGGUAACGUAGCUAACGCGUGAAGUUGACCGCCUGGGGAGUACGGUCGCAAGAUUAAAAUCAAAG